CCACGGGAUAACCCGUUGAAAGACGGCCUAAUACCGUAUGACGUCGUUUGCCGACAUCGAAAGACGACCAAGGUUGGCGGUGAUGGAUGGGGAUGCGUCUGAUUAGCUUGGUUGGCGGGUAACGGCCCACCAAGGCGACGAUCAGUAGGGGUUCUGAGAGGAAGGUCCCCCACAUUGGAACUGAGACACGGUCCAAACUCCUACGGGAGGCAGCAGUGAGGAAUAUUGGUCAAUGGGCGAGAGCCUGAACCAGCCAAGUAGCGUGCAGGAUGACGGCCCUAUGGGUUGUAAACUGCUUUUACGCGGGGAUAAAGUGCGUGACGUGUCUCGCAUUGCAGGUACCGCGUGAAUAAGGACCGGCUAAUUCCGUGCCAGCAGCCGCGGUAAAU
This 389-nucleotide ribosomal RNA is filed under the name uncultured Prevotella sp. RNAcentral describes it as "bacterial SSU rRNA". It matches the Rfam family "Bacterial small subunit ribosomal RNA", at positions 136 to 525 of the family's 1533-position model. Lineage: Bacteria; Pseudomonadati; Bacteroidota; Bacteroidia; Bacteroidales; Prevotellaceae. The record is from RNAcentral.